GAGAUCUUCGGAUCUAGUGGCGGACGGGUUAGUAACGCGUGGGAACGUACCCUUCACUACGGAAUAGUCCCGGGAAACUGGGUUUAAUACCGUAUACGCCCUUCGGGGGAAAGAAUUUCGGUGAGGGAUCGGCCCGCGUUAGAUUAGUUAGUUGGUGGGGUAAUGGCCUACCAAGACUACGAUCUAUAGCUGGUUUGAGAGGAUGAUCAGCAACACUGGGACUGAGACACGGCCCAGACUCCUACGGGAGGCAGCAGUGGGGAAUCUUAGACAAUGGGGGCAACCCUGAUCUAGCGAUGCCGCGUGAGUGAUGAAGGCCUUAGGGUCGUAAAGCUCUUUCGCCUGUGAUGAUAAUGACAGUAGCAGGUAAAGAAACCCCGGCUAACUCCGUGCCAGCAGCCGCGGUAAUACGGAGGGGGUUAGCGUUGUUCGGAAUUACUGGGCGUAAAGCGCACGUAGGCGGAUUAGUCAGUCAGAGGUGAAAUCCCAGGGCUCAACCCUGGAACUGCCUUUGAUACUGCUAGUCUUGAGUUCGAGAGAGGUAAGUGGAAUUCCGAGUGUAGAGGUGAAAUUCGUAGAUAUUCGGAGGAACACCAGUGGCGAAGGCGGCUUACUGGCUCGAUACUGACGCUGAGGUGCGAAAGUGUGGGGAGCAUACAGGAUUAGAUACCCUGGUAGUCCACACCGUAUACGAUGAAUGCCAGUCGUCGGGUAGCAUGCUAUUCGGGGACACACCUAACGGAUUAAGCAUUCCGCCUGAGGAGUAUGACCGCCAGGAUUAUUACUCAUAGGGAGUUGACGGGGGGCCGUCCCAAGCGGUGGAACCAUGUGGUUUUAUU
This 839-nucleotide ribosomal RNA is filed under the name Celeribacter sp. RNAcentral's name for it is "bacterial SSU rRNA". It matches the Rfam family "Bacterial small subunit ribosomal RNA", at positions 69 to 951 of the family's 1533-position model. The record is from RNAcentral. Lineage: Bacteria; Pseudomonadati; Pseudomonadota; Alphaproteobacteria; Rhodobacterales; Roseobacteraceae.